GAUGAAGAACGUAGCAAAAUGCGAUAAGUAAUGUGAAUUGCAGAAUUCAGUGAAUCAUCGAAUCUUUGAACGCACAUUGCGCCCCUUGGUAUUCCGGGGGGCAUGCCUGUUCGAGCGUCAUUUCAACCCUCAAGCUCUGCUUGGUAUUGGGCUCCGUCCUCCUCGGACGCGCCUCAAAGACCUCGGCGGUGGCGUCUUGCCUCAAGCGUAGUAGAAACACCUCGCUUUGGAGUGCAUGGCGUCGCCCGCCGGACGAAACCUUUUGUAUUUUCUCAAAGGUUGACCUCGGAUCAGGUAGGGAUACCCGCUGAACUUAAGCAUAUCAAUAAGCGGAGGA
RNAcentral lists this unclassified non-coding RNA (337 nucleotides) under soil metagenome. RNAcentral describes it as "partial contains 5.8S ribosomal RNA, internal transcribed spacer 2, and large subunit ribosomal RNA". The stretch from base 1 to 120 matches the Rfam family "5.8S ribosomal RNA", at positions 35 to 154 of the family's 154-position model. The record is from RNAcentral.